RNAcentral lists this ribosomal RNA (507 nucleotides) under uncultured bacterium. Its description in RNAcentral is "partial 16S ribosomal RNA". It matches the Rfam family "Bacterial small subunit ribosomal RNA", at positions 30 to 523 of the family's 1533-position model. The record is from RNAcentral.
AUCGAACGCUGGCGGCACGCUUAACACAUGCAAGUCGAACGGCAGCAUGGUGUGUAGUAAUACACAUUGAGUGCGCGUGGCGGACGGGUGAGUAACGCAUAGGGACAUGCCUAUAAGAGAGGCACAACCAUAGGAAACCGGGGCUAACACAGGAUAAAGGCGCAAGACCAAAGGCAGGGUGGAGACACCUGGCGCUGAGAGAGGGGCUUGCGUCUGAUUAGCUAGUUGGUCGGGUAAGGGCCCACCAAGGCGAUGAUCGGUAGCUGGUCUGAGAGGACGACCAGCCAAACUGGGACAGAGACACGGCCCAGACUCCUACGGGAGGCAGCAGUAGGGAAUAUUGGACAAUGGGGGCAACCCUGAUCCAGCAAUGCCGCGUGUGUGAAGAAGGCCUUCGGAUUGUAAAUCACUUUAGUCUGAGAAGAAGGAGAGUUGUUUAAGAGAUUAUUCUUUUGACUGUACCGGCAGAAUAAGCACCGGCUAACUCUGUGCCAGCCGCCGCUGUAA